RNAcentral lists this non-coding RNA (46 nucleotides) under Carnobacterium inhibens. RNAcentral's name for it is "PreQ1-I sequence". It matches the Rfam family "PreQ1 (pre queuosine) riboswitch aptamer". Rfam says of the family: This family is a bacterial riboswitch that binds to the metabolite preQ1, an intermediate in the biosynthesis of the modified nucleoside queuosine from GTP. Lineage: Bacteria; Bacillati; Bacillota; Bacilli; Lactobacillales; Carnobacteriaceae. The record is from RNAcentral.
UAAAACGUGGUUCGUUGACCAUCCCACGAAAAAAAACUAGGAGGAA